AUGGGCUUCAUGGGGGCGAAGCUGUUCCCGUCGUGCGAGAGCAUGUGCGUCUGCUGCCCGGCGCUGCGCCCGAGCUCCCGCCGCCCCGUCAAGCGGUACAAGAAGCUGCUCGCUGAGAUAUUCCCCAAGACGCCUGAGGGUCCACCAAAUGAGAGGAAAAUCAUGAAGUUAUGCGAGUAUGCUGCCAAGAAUCCCCUGCGCAUUCCAAAGAUUGCCAAGUUUCUGGAACAGAGGAGUCGCAAGGAACUGCGUGCUGCUCAUUUGAACUAUGUCAAGAUAAUCACUGAAGCAUACAGCAAGCUACUCUUCAUUUGUAAGGAGCAGAUGGCAUAUUUUGCCAUCAGCCUGGUGAACGUCCUCACCGACCUUCUGGAAAGCAAGCAGGAGGACAUUCAUAUCCUUGGAUGUCAAACUUUCGCGAGGUUUAUUUACAGCCAGGUAGACAACACAUAUGCACGGAAUAUUGAGAGCUUGGCCCACAAAGUGUGCACACUUUCACGGCAACAGGGAGUGGAGCAUAGUCUUCUGCGGGCAGCAAGCCUACAGUGUCUCUCAGCAAUGAUCUGGUUUAUGAAGGAACAUUCAUACAUAUUUGCUGAUUUUGAUGAGAUGGUGCAGUCGGUCUUGGAAAAUUAUAGGAUGGAUGGAACUGCUGGUGGUGAUGAUGACAGACAUGCAUCACAGCAUAACUGGGUUGAUGAAAUAGUCAGGCGUGAGGGAAGAGCUGGUUUAGGUGGAGGUAAUGAUGUAAAUUUCUGUAGUGCAACAACUACUAGACUGCGAUCAGCAAGGGACUCUUCAGCACUGACCAGGGAGGAGCGCGAAUCUCCAGAAGUAUGGUCCCAUAUUUGUGUUCAGAAGCUUGCAGAACUGGCCAAAGAGAGUACAACUAUGCGACGCAUCCUUGAUCCAAUGUUUUCUUACUUUGAUAUGAAGAAACAAUGGGCUCCUCGGCAUGGAUUAGCUUUGCUUGUCAUGUCUGAUAUGUCUUAUCUAGAGAAGAGUUCAGGCAACGAACAAUUGAUUUUGACUGCUGUCAUCCGUCAUCUGGACCACAAGAAUAUUUUGCAUUGUCCUCAGACUAAAUCUGAUAUUAUUCAGACAGCAACAUCUUUGGCACGACAGCUGCGAUCACGAGGAGUUGCUCCUGAACUUGCAGUAACAGGUGACUUGUGCAGGCACUUGAGGAAAACACUAGAGGCCAUGGAGUCAGCCAGUGUUCAAGAGCUGAGCUUGAAUGAGUCUCUUCAAAAUUUCCUGGAGGGCUGUCUUGUUGAAGUCGUAAGAGGAGUUAAAGAUGUGCGGCCACUUUAUGACAUGAUGGCAAUUACAUUGGAGAAUUUGCCUUCUAUUCCUGCUGUUGCUAGAGCAACUAUUGGAAGUUCGCUGAUACUUUGCCACAUAAUCUCUUUGACAUCAGUAUCUUCGGACGCUCCUAUGCAGGUGUUUCCGGAAGCACUCCUCCAGCAGAUAUUGAGAUCCAUGGUACAUCCAGAUGCAGACACUCGUGUGGGGGCGCACCACAUAUUUUCUGCUGUAAUUGUCCGAGGCCCAAGCCAUCAGAGGGGUGAUUCAGAGUACCUAUUUGCAACAAAAAAGUGUCAAUCUCGAUCACCGUCAGUGUUUGCUUCAGCUACUGCUCUACUUGAGAAGUUAAGGAGAGAGAAAGAAUGCUUAGGUUCAGAUAAGCCUGGACAUAUGAUGCAUGAUGAUGGGAAGGAAAGAAACACCCAUGAAGAGGAUAAUAAGCAUGUUUGGGCACGAAAAAGCCCGGCUUAUUUUUCAAAGUUGGUCUUCUCUUUCGUCGAUCGAUGGGCAACACUAGCUAGUUCUGCUGAGGAAACCAAAAUCGUCCUGUUAACUGAAGAUCAAACAAAUCAAUUGCUGUCUGCGUUUUGGAUACAGGCCAAUCAGACCGAUAACACUCCUUUUAAUUAUGAGGCCAUUGGUCAUUCAUACAGCCUCACAGUUCUUUCUUCCCGCCUUAAGAAUUCAAGCAACAGUAAUAACAUUCAGUUCUUCCAGUUGCCUCUGUCCCUCCGAAGUAUUGCUUUAACUCCAAGUGCAGGCCUGCCCCCUUCUUGCCAACGGUCUAUUUUUUCCUUAGCAACGAGUAUGCUGGCUUUUGCUGGAAAAGUCUGUCAUAUUGUUGAAUUGGCAGAGUUGCUAAGGUGUUUUACCUCAUCCAAUAUUGAUUCUUAUCUAAGAAUUGGUGAAGAUUUGCAACUCUAUGUAAGGUUGCAAUCGGAUCUUGGCAGCUAUGGCUCUGAAAGUGAUCAAGACAUUGCUAGGUCUGUACUUUCUGAUUGCAGAAAGAAAGUGGGGAUAAAUGAUCAUCGAGUGCUUGAUGUGAUUGCCUGUGCACUUUCAAAUUUAACAGAGAUGGACAAGGAUGCAUUGGCGAAGGAGCUCACAGAGAUGUUUACUCCUGAAGAAGUUCCCUUGUUUGGUUCAAAUUCAGUCCUUGACUGGGCCAACUUUCACGCGCAGGCAUUUUCCGAUGAAUCCCUUUCUUUUGAUGAGGAGUGUUCAAGAACAUCUUCGGUAGAUGGUGGAUUGCAUGACUCACCAAUUACAAAUACUGCUAGCUCCACAUCCAAGAUUACGCUUCCUCAUUCCGCUCCCCGUGUCCUGGGUGUUGGUCAGCUGCUUGAAUCGGCGCUGCAUGUAGCUGGCCAGGUUGCAGGGUCAUCCGUUUCUACCUCCCCCCUCCCAUACGGCACAAUGACUAGUCAAUGUGAGGCCCUGGGAUCGGGCACCAGGAAGAAGCUAUCAAGCUGGCUCGUGAAUGGCCACAGCUCGACUCCAGACAAUCCUGUGCCAAGCCUUCCCGCUGCCGAUCAUUUCAUCCUUCCUAAGGUAAAUUCCUGUGGCUUCGAGAUCAACCGCACGUUAUCGGAGCCGUGCUCCAUGGUGAAGCUUCCACCGGCCAGCCCAUUCGACAACUUCCUGAAGGCAGCUUAUCGCACCCCGCAGGAGAUGUGA
Molecule: ribosomal RNA, 2985 nt
Filed under: Triticum aestivum (bread wheat)
Lineage: Eukaryota; Viridiplantae; Streptophyta; Magnoliopsida; Poales; Poaceae
Description: partial small subunit ribosomal RNA
Source: RNAcentral